Molecule: ribosomal RNA, 490 nt
Filed under: uncultured bacterium
Lineage: Bacteria
Description: partial 16S ribosomal RNA
Rfam family: Bacterial small subunit ribosomal RNA
Source: RNAcentral
GAUGAACGCUAGCGAUAGGCUUAACACAUGCAAGUCGAGGGGCAGCAUGGUCUUAGCUUGCUAAGACUGAUGGCGACCGGCGCACGGGUGCGUAACGCGUAUGCAACUUGCCUCACAGAGGGGGAUAACCCGUCGAAAGACGGACUAAUACCGCGUACACUUGGGAUAGGGCAUCCUGACCCAAGGAAAUGAAAUUCGCUGUGAGAUAGGCAUGCGUCCCAUUAGCUAGUUGGUGAGAUAACGGCUCACCAAGGCGACGAUGGGUAGGGGAACUGAGAGGUUGACCCCCCACACUGGUACUGAGACACGGACCAGACUCCUACGGGAGGCAGCAAUGAGGAAUAUUGGUCAAUGGGCGAGAGCCUGAACCAGCCAAGUCGCGUGAAGGAUGACUGUCUUAUGGAUUGUAAACUUCUUUUAUACGGGAAUAACAAGAGCCACGUGUGGCUCCCUGCAUGUACCGUAUGAAUAAGCAUCGGCUAGCUCCGUG